GGUUCCGCCUGGGCAUCCGCCUAGCAACAGUGACGACAGGACACCUUUUUUUUCCCCCUACUGGUUGAGUUCGCCCAAUCGCCAGCUUGCUGUCGAUUGUUGCGCUGGUUGAUCGACGGGAGGCGCCUCUUCCUUCACCUGCGGGAAUUCGGGAGGGCGGGGCGCAGGUUGAGGAGCGGGGCCGGGAUGGCUCUGCGCUCUGCGCCCGUCUUGCUCCUGGCGUUGGUGGCGGUCGCUCUGUGGGAGGGCUGCGUCGGCGCCUUCUCACACUCCCUGAAGUAUUUUGUCACCUCCAUCUCGGAGCCCAGUCAGGGGCUGCCCCACUAUGUCAUUGUGGGGCAUGUGGAUGGUCAAGUCUUCAGUUCCUACGACAGCAACAGCCGGAAGAUGCAGCCUCGAGUCUCCUGGAUGGAGAAGGUGGGGAAGGAGGACCCCCAGUACUGGGACAGAAACACCCAGAUGGCACGUGAGGAAGAGGAGGUGUUCACAAGAGACCUGGUGAUUGCGAGGACUCGCUACAAUCAGAGCAAAGGCCUUCACACAUGGCAGAGGAUGGUUGGCUGUGAACUCCGGGGAGACGGGAGCAAAGGAGCGUUUCAGCAAUACGGCUACGACGGGAGGACCUUCCUCACCUUCGACAAGGAGACCCUCACCUGGGUGGCUCCCGACCCCCAGGCCCGGAUCACCCAGAGGAAAUGGGACGCUCUUCCAGGAUAUAAUCAGAGACGGAAGGCCUACCUGGAGGACGUCUGCAUCAAGUGGCUGGAGAAGCACCUGUCCUACGGGAAGGAGACGCUGCUCAGGACAGACCCCCCAGAGGUGACACUCAGCAGGAAGAUUGAGGUGGAGGAUGGGAUGGAGACACAAAUCUGCCGCCUGGAGGGCUUCUACCCAAGGGAGAUCGAGGCCUCCUGGACGAGGGACGGGGAGGUCUGGCUGCAGGACACCCUCCGUGGCUCCGUGGCCCCAAAUGCAGAUGGGACCUACCACUAUUGGCUCAGCAUCCAGAUCGAUCCCAAAGAGAGGGGCCGCUAUCGGUGCCACGUGGAGCACGACGGCCUACCGAAGCCUCUGGACGUGGCCCUGAAGGAGCCAAAAUCCAACCUGGGGCUCAUCAUCGGCUGCGUUGUGGCUGGCCUUGUCCUGCUGGGUGUGAUUGUUGGGAUCUUGGUAUUUCUUAGUAAGUAUCCUUUUCUGGGUGAUGGAAGGAAGAUGGGGAGGUUCCUCCCAAGUCUCUUCCUUUGGGGAGCUUCUUCAGGGCUUUCUCCUGUCCUGUUUUCCCAGCCCUCUUGGGGAGCCUCUGAGAUCUCAGCCUCUUUCUGGGACUCCAGUCUUGACUUGGCUGAGUCUGAGGUUGGGACAAUCCUGCCUUCUUCUGUGUUGGGAAGAGGCAUCCCAGUUCCGUCCCUUUCAAAGUCUUUGGUCAAAGAGCAGCAGAGAAGGAUUUCCAUGAAAAUCUUCCUCCCCUCCCAGCUGCUGCUGCUUCCCCCCUUUCCCUCCCUCAUCUCGGAGGCAGCAGGUCUCCCUUGGGGCAAAUCAGGAGAUACUUUUGGUUUUUGAAAAUCUUUGUGUCUUUGUUAAUGGGUCAGAUUGACUGUGAAAUAUCUCCUGGGGUUCUUCCUCUUGCAGAGAGAGAGAUUGGAUGAUCUCUGGUGGAUUCUUUUGGGCUUUCACUGAUUUUUGUCUUUGCAGAGAGACAUCAGGAUGGCCACAGAGCAGUACCAAGUGAGUGACUUGUCCUCUUUACAUGUAAUCUCCAACUUAGAGCAGGGACCAGAGAUGCCAUCACUUGAAGGCAAGUGAGGAAGGAUCCAACAGUUCCAGCCAGGGGAGCAACCAGGUCAUUUAGCAGCCCCUUUGAAGCACGAGUGGACACUCCCAGGAUGAGGAGAGAGGAGAGAAGUGGGGAUCGGUCUUUUUCUGAAUUAGGCCAGACUCUCAGGAGGAGCCCUUCAGGGUCUUCCAACAUGCUGGAACCAGGAUGUAUUUGGGGUCUUUCAUCACUGCUUUUAUCAUUGAGUCAGUGACCUUGUUUUAUUGAGGAACAGAGAAGAAAAGAAAAUCUUAUGUGUUUAUAAUUGUGGAAUCAAAAGGAUUCAAUCUGGGUUUAGUAGAUAUUAUUAUUAUUUUGUUUGUAUUAGCUGCUGAAGAUAUCAAAGGUAUUCAGGUGGGACUUGAACUCACAGUCGCUUUCUAACCUGAUCCCUUAACCACUAAACUGCCUUGUACAGCUUGUAAUAGCUUUGUAACAUAGCUUGUAGCAGCUACGUUGUUAUUUCUGAUGACCUUUAAUGGGCUUCUGCUGAUUGGAGAAGAUUUCAUAGCAAAUGAGGAGACGAAUAGGAUGCAGAGUUGCUGGUUUUACUUUAAGGGAGAGUGAUAAACUGUUAAUCUUCAUUAUACAUGCCCAGAUUGAAAGUGGAGGGUUUUUUUUUCUGUGUUUUUAUUUUUCUUUGUAUUAGUUGUAUAAUACAAUAGAAAGAAUGUACAAUAUGUUGCCAUUUAUGGAUGUUCAUGGUUUAGAAAAAUGGAACAGGAGCCCUCCCCAUCAUGACAUGCUGAGCAAACAGGAGAUUAUUUUUUUCUCCUAUUUUGCUCCCAGUUUUUCAAAGGAGACACUAAGAAUAGCAAUAGUACUUAGACUUAUAUCCACUUCAUAGUACUUUACAGCCCUCUCUAAGCCGUUUACAGAGCCAGCAUAUGGCCCCCAACAAACUAGGUCCUUAUUUUACCGAUGGCCAAGAUGAUAUCCAUAUUUUACCGAUGGCCAAGAUGACAUCCAACCUUUGGACAAUCAUGCACAAAUGGGGAAGAGGGGAGGGGCUGAAUGCCAGCAAUUCUUGGUCUGGUCUGUUACCAUCUUUUCCCUUCAGCUGCUAAGUUUUCAUAAGCAUACCUGGGUUUUAAUUGCCAUUUUUCAAGCUUUACAAUCUCUUGAUUUAUGAGUAGCUGACUUCUAAUCUUGCUGGAUUUUACAACUUUUUUUCCUGCUGUUUCAUUGUUUACCAAAAUUGCCAUAAGGAGGUUGAGGUAGGUUUUACAUUUACCUUUACAGAGGAUUAUACUAUAAACCUUGCUCUUUCUAGCUUUUUUCAUUCUUUCUUUUUUUAAGGGCCUCAAUAUUUAGCUCUUAAUUUUUGAUUGAAAAAUUCCCAUUUUUUUAACCCUGAAGGGAAAAAAAUUCCUUUACCUGUGGAAGCCGUUGCUUAUCUGCUUUUCUUGUCUUUGAAGAAAAAAACAAAGUUUUUCAUGUUUUGAAAGGAGAUAAAUUAUUUUUGCAAAUAACUGAGAAAAGAAAGCUUUCCAACGGUAACAGGUUGUAUUUGAAAAUAUAAACAAAAAAUGUGAUGGGUCAAGAACGGUUCUGUAAAAUUAAGAUGAUACCCAAAAGCAGGAAAUAACAGUUGGACCUGAUUUGCAAUUUGAGGAAUUGGAAUUUGAUUUAUUGCAAGUCAUAUGCAAAGAAUGUAUUUUGGUUUGCCAGAAAAGAUUGAAAAGAAUAUGAAUAUAAGAAACUCUGAAACAACAGAGAAAAGACGAAGGAUGGACUGCAUUUUCUCGGCAAGAGAAAUGCUGUGUUGUUGAGGAGAAUAAUUCCACAAUGGAUGUUGCAGAGAUGUUUACCACAGAGACCUCUGAACUUUGGGAAUUAGAUGCAAUUGUUGGUCAAGUUCCUAAUUAAAAACCUAAGGAACGGUUUCACUGUUAAGAACCAAAUGAGGGUAUUUGACCCUGGACUCAUGAUCGGGGUGAUUUGCAGUAAAUAAGAAACUCUGUAGACUUUCUAUGAAUAAAUUAUAAUAACAGACUGUACUAGAGUGCUUUGAAUUUUAACUUCCCUGUUGUUCAACCUGUUAACUAUUUUUCCUUUCACAUAGAUAAUCCAUGAUAGGUCAAUUUGGUUGCAAAUAGAUGUACAAGAUUAUAAAUUUUGGACCUCUUUUGCAAGCGGGGGAGCUCUUAUUGUUGCAAUAGAUUUCUUAAUGUGCUGGAGUCGGUCUCUCACCUGGGCUGGUCAC
Crotalus tigris (Tiger rattlesnake) is the source of this 4019-nucleotide RNA transcript. It is a transcript of the gene named major histocompatibility complex class I-related gene protein-like, with no coding region annotated. The transcript has 8 exons. The record is from RefSeq and is a predicted model, not a curated record. Lineage: Eukaryota; Metazoa; Chordata; Lepidosauria; Squamata; Viperidae.